UACGGAGGGUGCAAGCGUUGUCCGGAUUUAUUGGGUUUAAAGGGUGCGUAGGCGGCCCGUUAAGUCAGUGGUGAAAGCCUCCAGCUCAACUGGAGAACUGCCAUUGAUACUGGCGGUCUUGAGUACAGACGAGGUUGGCGGAAUUGAUUGUGUAGCGGUGAAAUGCAUAGAUACAAUCAAGAACACCGAUUGCGUAGGCAGCUAACUAGGCUGUAACUGACGCUGAGGCACGAAAGCGUGGGGAGCGAACAGG
RNAcentral lists this ribosomal RNA (253 nucleotides) under uncultured bacterium. RNAcentral's name for it is "partial 16S ribosomal RNA". It matches the Rfam family "Bacterial small subunit ribosomal RNA", at positions 524 to 776 of the family's 1533-position model. The record is from RNAcentral.